Molecule: ribosomal RNA, 442 nt
Filed under: uncultured bacterium
Lineage: Bacteria
Description: partial 16S ribosomal RNA
Rfam family: Bacterial small subunit ribosomal RNA
Source: RNAcentral
CUACGGGCCGCAGCAGUGGGGAAUAUUGCACAAUGGGGGGAACCCUGAUGCAGCAAUGCCGCGUGAAGGAUGAAGUAUUUCGGUAUGUAAACUUCUUUCAGUAGGGAAGAAAAAAAUGACGGUACCUACAGAAGAAGCCCCGGCUAACUAUGUGCCAGCAGCCGCGGUAAUACAUAGGGGGCAAGCGUUAUCCGGAAUUACUGGGUGUAAAGGGUGCGUAGGCGGUCUUGUAAGUCAGGUGUGAAAACCCGGGGCUCAACCCCGGGAAUGCACUUGAAACUACAAAACUAGAGUACAGGAGAGGUAAGCGGAAUUCCUAGUGUAGCGGUGAAAUGCGUAGAUAUUAGGAAGAACACCAGUGGCGAAGGCGGCUUACUGGACUGAAACUGACGCUGAGGCACGAAAGCGUGGGGAGCGAACAGGAUUAGAUACCCCUGUAGUC